Molecule: ribosomal RNA, 468 nt
Filed under: uncultured bacterium
Lineage: Bacteria
Description: partial 16S ribosomal RNA
Rfam family: Bacterial small subunit ribosomal RNA
Source: RNAcentral
GACGAACGCUGGCGGCGUGCUUAACACAUGCAAGUCGAACGGAAAGGCCCUGCGUUUGUGUGGUGCUCGAGUGGCGAACGGGUGAGUAACACGUGAGUAACCUGCCCUUGACUUUGGGAUAACUUCAGGAAACUGGGGCUAAUACCGGAUAGGAGCUCCUGCUGCAUGGUGGGGGUUGGAAAGUUUCGGCGGUUGGGGAUGGACUCGCGGCUUAUCAGCUUGUUGGUGGGGUAGUGGCUUACCAAGGCUUUGACGGGUAGCCGGCCUGAGAGGGUGACCGGCCACAUUGGGACUGAGAUACGGCCCAGACUCCUACGGGAGGCAGCAGUGGGGAAUAUUGCACAAUGGGCGGAAGCCUGAUGCAGCAACGCCGCGUGCGGGAUGACGGCCUUCGGGUUGUAAACCGCUUUCGCCUGUGACGAAGCGUGAGUGACGGUAAUGGGUAAAGAAGCACCGGCUAACUACGUG